ACGGAGGAUCCAAGCGUUAUCCGGAUUUAUUGGGUUUAAAGGGUGCGCAGGCGGAUCAAUAAGUCAGGGGUGAAAAAUUUCAGCUUAACUGGAAUCGUGCCUUUGAUACUGUUGGACUAGAGUAUAAUUGACGUGACUGGAAUGUGAUGUGAAGCGGAUCAAUGAUUAGUUAUGUCACAAAACGCCAAUCGUGGAGAGAAGUCAAGAAAUUAUUACUGACGUGCAUGCGUGAAAGCGUGUUGAUCACACAG
This 251-nucleotide ribosomal RNA is filed under the name uncultured prokaryote. Its description in RNAcentral is "partial 16S rRNA". It matches the Rfam family "Bacterial small subunit ribosomal RNA", at positions 525 to 775 of the family's 1533-position model. The record is from RNAcentral.